GCGGAUAUCUCAUCCCGGCACACCGCUAGCGCACGAUUUUGUUCCAGGACGAGACGUUCCCAAUCCGAGGCGCCCGCUGCCUCCAUAGUACGGCGAAGUAAUCUGUUACGAAGCGCUGACGGAGACAAGCGCGGGCGAGCGAAGAGAUGGCGUGUGACCGAACACAGGACGAGAAUCGACUCGGGACCGAGCAGGUGCAAAGCAGACAGUUGGUCCGCUUCCUCGUACCCUCAGAGCUCAGCGGGGCAGCAGCGAGGGCCAGAGCUUCAGAGCAGCAGGAGGGAGAGAUGGGUGUGUAUAUGCAUUUGUGUGUGUCUGUUUGAGGAGUUUAGGAAUUACAGGUGGCUACAGUCAACCGUGUGGGACAUUCAGGGACAGGUCAGGGUCAGUGAUCUCUUAAAGAACAGCUCUUAAAGAAAUGCAUUCACCUUUGACACGAAUAUGCUAAUGCUAAUUGUGCUAAUCUGAAAAUGGCUGAAUGUGUGUUCACACCUUUGUGCUUACUCC
This is a long non-coding RNA of Ictalurus punctatus (channel catfish), 507 nucleotides long. Lineage: Eukaryota; Metazoa; Chordata; Actinopteri; Siluriformes; Ictaluridae. The record is from Ensembl.